CUUUCUUCCCUUCCCAGCUGUCAGAUUGGCUGUGAUGUUCGAGCCCGUACCAAUCUGAUCCCAAAGUUUGCUGAUUUUACAAAAUAUAUUGCUUCGAUUAUACAAAGUGGCUUGUUUAUAAAACAUAUUCCCUGUGCAUUUUCCUCUCUGCUGAUCUAAAGUACAGUGGCCAAUUCGAUAUCAUUAGAACGGCGACCUUGUUUUGUUCAUUAGUGCGUUAUUAAACAAUUGCCACAGUAACGCAUUACGCAUCCCUUUGCUUAGGGUACAGUGGUGGUAGUAGAAGUGUAAUUUCAUCGUGAGUUUUACCAGCAAAGUUGGAACACCGCUUCAAAUGACUUCCCGUGAAGUGAUCAGCAUCGCAUCCGAUGAUAGCGACACCGAAGAGGACCAAAGCCCGCAGAACAAACUGGCGGCGGAAUACAAGCAAAGCAGUAACACACGCAAACACAAAAAACACAAGCGGCACAAAAAAUCCUCCAAAGCGGAGAAAGGGGACAAGCAGCACAAGCCAAAAAAGCAUAAAAAACACAAACGAAAGCAUCGUGGUGAGGAUGAGGAUGAAAGUAGCACCGAAGGGGAACUGGCCAGAAACGGUGCGCCUGCUGAUUCAUCCCGCAAAGUGGUGGAGGUCACAUCGCGAGUUAAACAAUCCAUCGAAGGUGGCGAGGGUGAUGAGCGGCUGAGAGGAAACGACCAUGCGGCACGUUCGAAAAACAAUGGCAGCACGAAGGCGGUUGUAGCUGAGAAGCGUAAAGGUCACAUUUCUACCGAUCCUGAUAAGCUGGUGCAAAUGUUGACGCAAGAUUUAGACAAGCGCAAGGAGGAUGUCGUUUCGGUGGAAAGCGAAAGCGAUGGGACGGCGAUGGAAGAUGCACCCAGCCCGGAUGUUGCCGUCAUCGAGGACGAUGAGCUCAAUUUGGAGGAUCUGAUGCGACAGAAAGCGUUGCUACAGGCACGGCUCGGUGAGUAUGCAACGGACGAAGAAGACGAUGGGCUGGACAAGAUGGCAAGGAACGAAUCGAACUCCAGGGAGCGACCCGCCAAGAAGAAGCGGAUUGAAGCUGGCGAAACAGCCGUCAUCACUAUCGAUGGAGAUUCGACACCGGACCUUAACGAACAGGCACGCAAAAGAUCGUCCAAUGUGGUAAAUCGUGCUUCAAAAGGUGGCAAGGAGGAGCUUCAAGCUGUACACAGGGGAACGAAUGCAGAAGUUGAAAGCAAGAAGGCUAAGGACCAUCAGCAGCAUCCGUCCGAAGCACGGGCCCGACAGCUGGACCGGGAUCGUGAUCGUGAGCGGGAAAUGCGAGCGAGGGAAGAGCGGCGUAACAGGGAGGAGGAUAAUUACAAGCGACGCAUGGCCGAAGAGCGGUACGAGCGAGAGAAAGCACGGGAAAGGGAUCGGGAGCGUGAUCGUGAGCGGGCGCGAGUACGUCAACGGGAACGUGACCGUUCGCUGGAAAGACGACGUGAUCGACGCGGAUAUUCGCCUCGCGAAAGGAGCCGAGACAGACGUUCGCUUGAGCGUGAUCGUGGUCGUGGCGGUGGCGGUAGGUUGGGUUCGCGUGACCGUUUCCGUGGCCGUAGUAGAAGCCGUGAUCGCGACAUGCGCGGUGCGGGCGGUAGAAUAGAUCGGGAAAGGGAUCGUGGCCGUGAUAGGGACCGUGAUCGAGAUUAUGGUCGCGGGAUGCAGCGUAAUGGGCGUGAUGGACGCGGCGGUGGAAAGGGUCGUAAAAUGGAUGAUGAUCGCUUUAAAGACUCGCUUAGUGAGGGUCUGAAGCAGCAGAAGGAGUCAAGCAGCGAAAGCGAAAUAGCCGACAUCGAUAUCGACGACGAAGAGGACGAGGAAAAGAUUAUUGAGAAAAGACGCAAAGAACGGGAAGCCCUGCUCAAGAAACUGGGUGUUGUGAAUGAGGACAGCAAUACGAUGAUGGAAACGGUGGAACCUCCCGAGCUUAGACAGGUCAGUAUGGGCAGUACAGCGCCGUCAUCGCGUAACGAUAGCCGCGAAGCGACCAUCAUCCACAGCCAACGGGCGGACGACCGGGAUCGGGACGGCACAGAUCAAUCGCUUACCCCACCGAUACCGAACGAGCGGAAGGAUCUGAUGGAUAAGGUAGAACGUAAGCCGAAAGAAUCACCCGAACCACCGAAAGAUCUGGACAGGCAGAGUAAGGAACCGAAAAAUACUGCGAAAGAAAAUUCUAAACGCCCCGAAUGGGACAUGUUUGCCGAACAGGACAUCGACUCGAACUUCGACUCACCGGGUACGGUUGUGGCGAACAAGCAGGCGCACGAGAAUCCGGCCCUGACGGACAACUGGGACGAUGCGGAAGGUUACUAUCGUGUGCGAAUCGGUGAAAUCCUGGACAACCGGUACGUGGUCGCUAACUACACGGGACAGGGCGUGUUCAGUACGGUAGUGAAGGCGAGAGAUCAGGCUCGCGGCAAUGCUUUCGUGGCGGUUAAAAUCAUUCGCAACAAUGAGAUCAUGCAUAAAACGGGCUUGAGAGAGUUGGAUAUAUUGAAGAAACUCAACGACGCAGAUCCCAGCGAUCGAUAUCACUGUCUACGUUUAUACAGACACUUUUUCCACAAACAGCAUCUGUGCAUGGUUCUGGAGCCGUUGUCGAUGAAUCUGCGCGAAGUGUUGAAAAAGUAUGGCAAAAAUGUAGGACUACACAUUAAAGCCGUGCGUAGCUACACCCAGCAACUACUGCUAGCGCUCAAGCUGUUGAAAAAGACCGGAAUUCUUCAUGCGGACAUCAAACCGGACAACAUACUGGUGAACGAAAACAAUCUGGUGCUGAAGCUGUGUGACUUUGGAUCGGCUUCGUCGAUAACGGAUAACGAAAUUACACCGUACCUGGUGUCGCGGUUUUACCGUGCGCCGGAAAUCAUUCUCGGUCUGGCGUACGAUUACGGUAUCGAUAUGUGGUCGGCCGGAUGCUCCAUCUAUGAGUUGUACACGGGCAAGAUCUUGUUUAGUGGUCAGUCCAAUAAUCAAAUGCUUAAAUUUUUCAUGGAUCUGAAAGGCAAGAUACCGAACAAGCUGAUACGCAAGGGCCAAUUUAAGGAUCAACAUUUCGACCCGAACUGUAACUUUCUAUCGCACGAGAUAGAUAAGAUCACCGAACGGGAAAAGGUGGUGGUAGUAUCAAUGAUCAAACCAACGAGGGAUCUGCAACAGGAAUUGAUCGCUGGACAAAAUCUCCCAGACGACCAGAUACGGAAAGUGUCACAACUGAAGGAUUUGUUGGACAAAGUGUUUGCGCUCGAUCCGGCAAAGCGAAUUUCACUGAAUCACGCACUGGCACAUCCGUUCAUUCAAGAUAAGAUCUAAGGGAACGGACGUACCCAACCUGUCACGGAAUCAUUCAACCGAACACGCAACGGAAGUAUUUUCCUUCCAAUUGAUGGAUCACCGACUUUCUCAACAUCAGCAAAAUGCACACUAUUAACGAUCCUUUUCUUACUUACGCUUCACUGAUCAACACUUCUUCAUCCGCGCACGCACACACACACACCCUGCCCGGUUGUUCAUCGAACGAUGAAGGAAGGCUCCAACCCCGUAUCUGAUGCACUCAUCAUGCAUUCGUAGGAAUUGAAGUGUGUGUGCUUAUCAUACGAAGAAGCCCAUGAUGAGAAACGUUGUAGAAAAACAUUUGCUCUUGUUUUUUCACGAAGCAAAAAUAAGAGAGCAACUGAUGUUGAAAAUGCGGCAUUUCCCAAAUGCAUUCCCUCAGUUGGGCGAACCGGCACCGAGAUCGCGUGGCUUGAAACCGGCAAGCUAAAACUGGUGUCCUAGUCGGGAUCACGCAAGUUGUACCGGCACGGUGCUGUGAUGAAAAUCCACAACCGUCGCACAGAUAGAGAAGCAUGCAUCCCCGUUCAUGGAUUAGGUCUCUCUUUUUGUGGGCAAUAAUUCCACGGCACGCCCCGCUCACGGGAGGUUGAUGCUGAAGCGCUGUGCAUAAGAGGUAGUGAACGAAUUAUCUAAUGUUUCGUUAUUUAUUUACACAUUCGUGCAAGUUUACUAUUGCCAAAGCAUAUGUUAUUUUAUUUGAAAACGCCCUCCAGUAGAAUUCUAGUGAUUGAACUGACUCUCAAUACAUCCGUCUGACGCAUCUGACCACUAAUUGCUCGUUUUGUUUGCGAGCAUUCGUACAAAAAAAACACGAUGUUUAAUACGUUUCUUUGCUUAAACACUGUUCGACAUUUUAAAGACACAACACAAACGUAUCGCAGCGAUGCUCUCCGUGUGGACAGAGUUUGGAAGUGCUGCAUAUGAAAGAACCAGCCGUUUCUCACCGAUGGGUAACCUCUCAAGCGACCAUUUGCGCAUCUCCCUCGCGUGGUGUGAAACAGGUUGUUAUGUGUUCGUACCGUUGAUAAAUUCGUCAGCAAACGAUAUUGCUUGGUCUUUGUGCUUAAUCUCUUUUCAGCUUGUACUAAGUGAUAGUUGCAACAAUUUCGAAUGAGGAAUGUUCUUCGAAUGAGAAAAGAUGGCUGGAAUAUCGCAAACUAAAACGAACUCGUCGUAUGAAAUGCAGGAUGGUAAGUUCCUCAUUAUCUCGUUAGCAACAUAUUAUCCGAAUCUAUCGCAGGGUAUCGCUGUCCAGUGUAGUCCUACCCAUUAUGGUGAACUAUGAAUUAUCGAGCUCUUUGGUGUAACUUCUGCAGAAUAUUGAAUUGGGAAUAAAGAUGUCUCCGACGGAGCAUACGAAAGAGUGAA
This is an RNA transcript of Anopheles funestus (African malaria mosquito), 4735 nucleotides long. It is a transcript of the gene named serine/threonine-protein kinase PRP4 homolog, with no coding region annotated. The transcript is spliced from 8 exons. NCBI's taxonomy places the organism in Eukaryota, Metazoa, Arthropoda, Insecta, Diptera, Culicidae. The record is from RefSeq and is a predicted model, not a curated record.